UAAGUAGGGGGCAAGCGUUGUUCGGAUUUACUGGGCGUAAAGGGCGCGUAGGCGGCGCGUAAAGACGGACAUGAAAUCAUUGGGCUUAACCCGAUGGCUGUGCCCGAUACUUGCGUGCUUAGAGUGCGGGAGAGGCAAUCGGAAUUCUCGGUGUAGCGGUGAAAUGCGUAGAUAUCGAGAGGAACUCCGGUGACGAAGGUGGGUUGCUGGACCGACUCUGACGCUGAGGCGCGAAGGCUAGGGGAGCAAAUGGG
Molecule: ribosomal RNA, 254 nt
Filed under: uncultured bacterium
Lineage: Bacteria
Description: partial 16S ribosomal RNA
Rfam family: Bacterial small subunit ribosomal RNA
Source: RNAcentral